GUAACACGUAUCCAACCUGGCCUUUACUCGGGGAUAGCCUUUCGAAAGAAAGAUUAAUACCCGAUAGCAUAAUGAUUCCGCAUGGUUUCAUUAUUAAAGGAUUCCGGUAAAGGAUGGGGAUGCGUUCCAUUAGGUUGUAGGUGAGGUAACGGCUCACCAAGCCUUCGAUGGAUAGGGGUUCUGAGAGGAAGGUCCCCCACAUUGGAACUGAGACACGGUCCAAACUCCUACGGGAGGCAGCAGUGAGGAAUAUUGGUCAAUGGGCGCUAGCCUGAUCCAGCCAAGUAGCGUGAAGGAUGAAGGCUCUAUGGGUCGUAAAC
This 320-nucleotide ribosomal RNA is filed under the name uncultured Bacteroidota bacterium. RNAcentral's name for it is "bacterial SSU rRNA". It matches the Rfam family "Bacterial small subunit ribosomal RNA", at positions 110 to 430 of the family's 1533-position model. Lineage: Bacteria; Pseudomonadati; Bacteroidota. The record is from RNAcentral.